CCAAUAGCGUAUAUUAAAGUUGUUGCAGUUAAAAAGCUCGUAGUUGAACUUCGGGGUUCACCCAUUGGUCAGGCUUAAUUGUCUGUACUGGUGAGAUGAGUCUCUACCUUCUGAGGAACUUUCAUGCCAUUUAUUUGGUGUGAUUGGAAAUCAGGACUGUUACUUUGAAAAAAUUAGAGUGUUUAAAGCAGGCUAACGUCUGAAUACAUUAGCAUGGAAUAAUGAAAUAGGACGGACUGAUUCUAUUUCGUUGGUUUCUAGGAUCACCGUAAUGAUUAAUAGGGAUAGUUGGGGGCAUUAGUAUUCAAUUGUCAGAGGUGAAAUUCUUGGAUUUAUUGAAGACUAACUACUGCGAAAGCAUUUGCCAAGGAUGUUUUCAUUAAUCAAGAACGAAAGUUAGGGGAUCGAAGACGAUCAGAUACCGUCGUAGUCUUAACCAUAAACUAUGCCGACUAGGAAUCAGACGAUGUUAAUUUUUUAAUGACUCGUUUGGCACCUUACG
This 502-nucleotide ribosomal RNA is filed under the name uncultured Glomeromycotina. Its description in RNAcentral is "partial small subunit ribosomal RNA". It matches the Rfam family "Eukaryotic small subunit ribosomal RNA", at positions 591 to 1092 of the family's 1831-position model. The record is from RNAcentral. Lineage: Eukaryota; Fungi; Glomeromycota.